GUGGGUUCUUGGUCUCACUGACCUCAAGAAUGAAGCCACAGAACUUUGCGGUGAGUAUUACACUCUUUAAGAUGGUGUGUCUGGAGUUUGUUCCUUCAGAUAUGUCCAGAGUUUCUUCCUUCUGGUGGGUUCAUCUUGCUGACUUCAAGAACGAAGCCACAGACCUUCACGGCGAGUGUUACAGCUCUUAAAGGUGUUGUGGACCCAAAGAGUGAGCAGCAGCAAGAUUUAUUGUGAAGAUCGAAAUAACAAAGCUUCCACAGCAUGGAAGGAGACCUGAGCAGGUAUGACUGAUUUUCCCAAAAUAUUUUGUGAAACUUCUCAGAAGUUGGUGAGUGUGGAAGCCUUUGCUCUGGCUGCGAAAUACUAUUCUGUACAAAACUUGGGAAUAUGUACUCCUUUUGAACAGUUGCUUGUAGCCCUUCGAGGAAAUCAAACCCAGAGAAUUGGUGAAAAUCAGAAGGCAGUUGAGUUUAUGAAUAUGAAGAAAUCUCAUGAAGUUCAGGCAAUGUCAGAGCUGAUCAGCAGUAUUGCUGACUACUAUGGAAUAAAGCAGGUGAUUGACUUGGGUUCUGGUAAAGGCUACCUAAGCUCUUUUUUGUCCUUGAAGUAUGGCUUAAAAGUUUAUGGAAUUGAUUCCUCAAAUACCAAUACUCAUGGAGCUGAGGAGAGAAACAGAAAAUUGAAGAAACAUUGGAAACUCUGUCAUGCUCAGUCAAGAUUAGAUGUCAAUGGACUAGCAUUAAAAAUGGCAAAAGAAAGGAA
Molecule: small RNA, 765 nt
Filed under: Pan troglodytes (chimpanzee)
Lineage: Eukaryota; Metazoa; Chordata; Mammalia; Primates; Hominidae
Description: processed transcript
Source: RNAcentral